Molecule: ribosomal RNA, 201 nt
Filed under: uncultured bacterium
Lineage: Bacteria
Description: partial 16S ribosomal RNA
Rfam family: Bacterial small subunit ribosomal RNA
Source: RNAcentral
ACGCUCGACACCUACGGGAGGCAGCAGUCGGGAAUAUUGCGCAAUGGAGGAAACUCUGACGCAGUGACGCCGCGUGCAGGAAGAAGGUUUUCGGAUUGUAAACUGCUUUAGACGGGGAAGAAAGAAAUGACAGUACCUGUAGAAUAAGCUCCGGCUAACUACGUGCUAGCAGCCGCGGUAAUCUGAGCGGGCUGGCAAGGC